UGAAAAACUAUCUCAGGAUAC
Molecule: non-coding RNA, 21 nt
Filed under: Arabidopsis thaliana (thale cress)
Lineage: Eukaryota; Viridiplantae; Streptophyta; Magnoliopsida; Brassicales; Brassicaceae
Source: RNAcentral